AUGGCGCUGUGUGAAGGCAUAGAGAAAAAAGGUUUACUAUUAUUACGAAGGUACGUAUUUGUAGCUCUGGUUCUCUGCACUUUGGCGGUAAAGAAAUAGUUAGCCAGUAGCCUGUUUGAACCACACAGUUUGCACAUUUGAACUAAUUCUGACUGCAUGUACCGCUUCAGUCAGCGUGUUUUUCAGUUAUUUGAGAUAGAGCUUUGUUAUUUGGCCUCUAAAUAUCUGCACGAAGACCAUUUGGUUCGAGUGGUCUAAACAUUUUGGGUGUUGUGACUUUAGCCAAGUGUGUUAGUGAAGCAGUGUGUUAUUGUGUUAGUGAAGCAGCAUUUUCAUUAUUUAAGCAUGUGUGCGCGCACUCGUAGAUGUAUGAAAUUGAUUAUGUAAAUCUUUUCAGGUUAGCAGCAGACCGGUGGGCACCGAGAAGUCCGAAUCAUCUGGGUUCUGCUACGUGAAUGACAUCGUUCUGACCAUUUUGAGCCUCUCAAGUAAGAGAAGAAUUAUUUUUUUUUUGUCAGUGGAAAAGAAGCUUUUGCAUUUACAUAGUGUUGUGAAAUGUUUACAGGACAUUGGGGCUGUGUAGAGCAAAUACUACGGAGUGAAUUACCCAUGAAGCCAUCUUUAGACCGAUCAUGGCCAAAGUAAUGGAGAUGUACCAGCCGAGCGCAGUGGUCCUUCUGUGUGGAGCCGAUUCAACGUCACUAUUACAGGCCACAGGAGGUUUGAGCCCAUGACCAAAAGAAUAGACUGAGGAGGAGGUUGCAGGAAUGCUGCCAACCGAGGGAAAAAAGGAAGCAUAAGAGAGGUAACCUGUGGAUGAUUGAUUACAACCAGAACAAGUAGUGUUAUUGCAUUUACUUUGUCUUUGAAGUAGAGGAGGAAGAGAAGGACCUUUGCUGAAUCCUGUGAGCACAUGUGGUUGACAGAACUAGU
This is a long non-coding RNA of Cynoglossus semilaevis (tongue sole), 933 nucleotides long. RefSeq lists it as uncharacterized. The record is from RefSeq and is a predicted model, not a curated record. NCBI's taxonomy places the organism in Eukaryota, Metazoa, Chordata, Actinopteri, Pleuronectiformes, Cynoglossidae. The transcript has 3 exons.